Long non-coding RNA from Eptesicus fuscus (big brown bat), 1240 nucleotides. RefSeq lists it as uncharacterized. Lineage: Eukaryota; Metazoa; Chordata; Mammalia; Chiroptera; Vespertilionidae. The transcript has 3 exons. The record is from RefSeq and is a predicted model, not a curated record.
UUCACCUGGAUUCCAUGUGGCUCACAUGCUUUCUCAGUAUGAUACCAUACAGCCCUCCAGCUGGUUUUCCAAGCACCCUUCCCAGUGAGGCCUUCAUAUAACUGCUAAAAUGGUCUUUAAAAAGUAAUAAAGUAUGAACCCAGCCCUUCAAAACACAAGGCUCUGAGAUAAGCUACAGGUGAACCGUACAACAAGACUGUAUCUCAAAAAUGUAGGAAAUUUCAGGUUCCUGGAGAAGUCUCUUGUGAAAGUGGUGGCCUCCUACUCUACGUGUUCUGGACCUCCCCUGAAUUUCCAUCGUCUCCAGGACACCCGUGGCAUUUGACUGCACCCUCCCGGGGGUUCGGCCACGCUGCUUGUGUGGGAUGGACUCCACUUCCGUCUGUAGGGCCAGGUCCCUGAUUGAUGGAGGCCUAAGCCAAUGGAUCGCUCUAUCCCAGCCCCCAGAAACAGGCACAUCAUCUAAUUUAAACCAAUGGGACCCCAGGAAACCUUGCAGGGGCUUCAGGGGAAGGAGGUGUUCCCUCUGCCUAUGGGCUUACGGUAAGGAGGAUGCAAGGGAGAUGGGAUUGUGCAGCCAGCUAGCUACCGUGAGAGGAGCCAGCCUGGUGAUGAAGUCCCCAGGCGGCCGAGGUCCCUGGGUCCUAGCGUUGCAGGUAGACCUCGAGUCAGGCUGUGCCUGGAAGAAGGGGUCACCAACCGGGGAGUAGAGGCGGCCUGUGGAAGCUGGAGAAGACAAGGACAUGGAUUCUCCCCUGGAGCCUCCAGAGAAGGCGGCCUGAUGAUACCAGGACUUUUCGGUGCAGUUGAACCAUAGUAACCUCCAUCUUGUAUAUAAAAACUGCUGUUUGAAAUUCUCUGCUAUUAUUAGGUAGUCCCUUGUUCUAUAAACUCUGUCAUUUUUAGAUAGUCUCUUAGUCUGUAGAAUAACUGUUUUAGUUUGAAUAAUAGAAAAAGAUAAAAACUUAAACUGUCUGACCUUCCAAGCUAGCCAUCUAACGUAAUGGACUAAUACUGAUAAUAAUUCCCAUGUUCUUAUGCCAAAUGUUUGUUCUUUAUGUAUCCAAGAUGACAAACUGUAACAACAACUCACACAGAGCCCUUCGUAAAACCUGCAGACAAAGGGCCCGAGAGCUAUAAAUACGGGAAACUUCCUCUGUGUCUUCGCUCAGAGAUUUGAAAGAAGCACCUCGCUCUGUGCCGCGCACAAUAAACGACUCCUAAUUAAUUGGCUCAUUAA